This 485-nucleotide ribosomal RNA is filed under the name Hydrelaps darwiniensis. RNAcentral describes it as "partial 16S ribosomal RNA". It matches the Rfam family "Bacterial large subunit ribosomal RNA", at positions 1854 to 2602 of the family's 2925-position model. Lineage: Eukaryota; Metazoa; Chordata; Lepidosauria; Squamata; Elapidae. The record is from RNAcentral.
AACGCCUGCCCGGUGAAUAAUUAAACGGCCGCGGUACCCUAACCGUGCAAAGGUAGCGUAAUCACUUGUCUAUUAAUUGUAGACCCGUAUGAAAGGCAUAAUGAGGGUCUGACUGUCUCUUUUAGUAAGUCAAUUAAACUGAUCUCCUAGUACAAAAGCUAGAAUACCAACAUAAGACCAGAAGACCCUGUGAAACUUUAACCAAACUAUCAAAACCCAUGAUAACUACUUUAGGUUGGGGCGACCUUGGAAAAAAAAGAACUUCCAAACACAUAUAUAUAUAAUAAUAUACUACCAGGCUAACAAGCCCACAACGACCCAGCACAGCUGACAAUUGAACCAAGCUACUCCAGGGAUAACAGCGCUAUCUUCUUCAAGAGCCCAUAUCAAAAAGAAGGUUUACGACCUCGAUGUUGGAUCAGGACAUCCUAAUGGUGCAACCGCUAUUAAGGGUUCGUUUGUUCAACGAUUAAUAGUCCUACGUG